GGGUGAGACUUCUCCUUUUUUUCAAUGUCCUGUACAAAGAAUAUAAAGUAGUGCAACAAAGAGGGUUAUAUUACACGAAUAGCAAUAUAUUGCACUAUUCCAAAAGUAUCGAUGUAAUAUCAACUUACACGUUUAGUUACACGAGCCGUUUUACUGUCCACCGCCUCCGCCGCAGCUGCCGAAGUCGGUGCCGCCGCCACCACCUGUACCUUCGCGGCUGCCUCCUUCGCAGCCUCAUCCGCCGCCUUCGCCUCCUCCUUCUCCUCCGCCGCCUUCGCCUCCUCCUUUACGGCCGGCGCCGUCGCCUCCUCCUUCUCCGCCGCCGCAGUCGCCUCCUCUUUCUCCUCCGCCGCCGUGGCCUCCUCCUUCUCCUCCGCCGCCGUCNAAUUUCUUUAUAACAAAGGUAAUGAGAAUUACAUAUGUACACCAAUUCGUCUUAGUGUGAAAAAAAUGACAGUACAAAUAAAAGAACUGUAACUCGAAUCAGCCUUGAAUUAUUACGAGUAAAAAAGACGCAAGAAUUCUGCUGCUAUCUCGCCGCGUCUCCUCGUCAUAUUCUUCUGGGAGAAGUCCAAGUUCCACCCCUUCUACAAGUAUUCCUCGUAUGCUAACAGGAAGAUUGCGCAGUCAUUGGACUGAUCUUGAAUCGGGAUGUCUUCCAUAUUGAUCUUCUCCCAGUCGACGGGACGGGUACCGCGGCGCCCAAACAAAUCGAAAAAUUUUUGUUGCAAAUAAUUUCCUAUGAACUUACACUGCAUAGAAAUCAUUGCACUAAUUAGAAAUAUAAUGGGGUAAUGCUGGUACAAUUUCAAAGUAUUAGGAAACACUUACUGCUUUUUCAAACCCCACGUUGUAUUUAGGGUUUUUAAUGGACGAUAAGUGGAGGUACUUCCCGUCUUGGAGAUCAACAGCCAGCAAAUGCCAGUGUUGGAAGUCGAAGAGCGGGAUGAACCAGUACUUCGCCUCACUGAUCCUCUCCUCGGUGAUGUCGUCCAAAAAUAUCUCGGGGCUCAUUGCAGUCCCUAGGGUCUUAUAAAGGAAUGUCGUGGAGUAUAUGCACCUGUGGCCUUCCACCUCCUUGAGUAAAUUCUGGUAGCCGUCAAUAACAUCGGAGCUGACGAAGGCCAUAUGACUUGUUAGGUCAACCAAGUCCUUCCUCCCGACGUCAAUACCUUUCGAAGCCACUACUAAUGCGGAGGGGGUGGUGCUUGUUAGGAAUUUUUCAAUUCGCUCCUGAUCCUCCUUCGGCAACUCGCCCUUGCCGUAAUACUUUAAAUCCAGUGGCGGUGAUGAUUUUGCGACAUUCAAUUUGAGUAUUUUGCCCUUUAUAAAUUUUGAUGUUUCAUCCGAGGAGGGGGGGAUGUCGAUGAUUAUUGGAUGCUGUUUAGCAAAAAAUGAAAGAAUCAGAUCGUAAUUACACCAUUGUAGGACAUUCUUACACUAUUAUAAGCUGUAUCGCAUUAAUGAAAUGUAACGUUGCAAUAUUCACGCACCUCUAUAAUGCUGGGUUCUUGCAUGGAAGACUUCGCAAUUUGUGUAGGUGCCUUCGUCGCCGUCGAGAGACGCACCAAGCGUCUCUUCGGGCGAGGCUUGUCCAUUUUUUCAAUGUCCUGUACAAAGAAUUUAAAGUAGUGCAACAAACAAGGUUAUAUUACAGGAAUAGCAAUAUAUUGCAUGAUUUCAAAGGUAUCGAUGUAAUAUCAACUUACACGUUUAGAUGCCCGAGUCGCCUUACUGUGUAUCGAAAUCUCCUUGUCCACCUCCUCCGCCGGAGCUGCCGCCGCCAACACCUUUUCCUUCGCGGCCGCCUCCUUCGCAGCCUCCUCCGCCGCCUUCGCCUUCUCCUUUUCCUCAUCCUCCGCUGGCACUGCAGCAGCCUCCACCUUUUCCUCCGCCACAGCCUCCACUUCCGCCUCUACCGCAACAUUUUCCACCUCAUCUGCCGCUCCCGCCGCUUUCUUUUCAUCCACCUUCGCCACGAAUGUUACCGGCGCCGUGUCCGGUUCCGCCGCCUCGGUUGCCGCCGGCUCCUCUUUCGGCGGAACGUGUGUUACCGUCGCUGCCACCGGAGCCCCUGCCGCCGGCACCUCUGGUAGUGAAGAUAACCGGGGCACGUCUUCACAUAUUUGGAUGACGAUGUUAUGCAGCUAAAUUUAAAAAAAUUUAAAAUUGGCGUCAAUUACACUAAUUAUUUAGAUAUUACACUAUUUAAUUACCUUUUACACUAUUACUUACUCCUUUUACACUAUUACUUACUUCAUCGCUUUUCAUAAAGGAGUCUCCUGCGAAAAGACCAGCUUUUGGACGGUCAUAUUCUUCGCUCCGUCUCGACUGCGAAGCCUGCAUACCAAAAAAGCGAUUAUAUGUUACACUACACAAGUAUAUGAUGCACUAUUACAAAGAAAUUUAUACAAAUACAGAACUAAAACAAGAGUUUAUUAAUCGAAGUCUGGUACCGUUACAUUAUUAUUGAGAUGAAAUUUACGAAUCAAUCGUUUGUUUACAAUGUAAACUAAUAAGGGCGUCACAUACGUCGGCG
Molecule: long non-coding RNA, 2539 nt
Filed under: Ananas comosus (pineapple)
Lineage: Eukaryota; Viridiplantae; Streptophyta; Magnoliopsida; Poales; Bromeliaceae
Description: long non-coding RNA (ACOM_LNC014422)
Source: RNAcentral